UACGUAGGUGGCAAGCGUUGUCCGGAUUUACUGGGCGUAAAGGAUGCGUAGGCGGACAUUUAAGUCAGAUGUGAAAUACCCGAGCUUAACUUGGGUGCUGCAUUUGAAACUGGGUGUCUAGAGUGCAGGAGAGGUAAGUGGAAUUCCUAGUGUAGCGGUGAAAUGCGUAGAUAUCGGAAGGAACAUCAGUGGCGAAAGCGGCUUCCUGGACCAGCACCGACGUUCAGGCACGAAAGCGUGGGGAGCAAACAGG
This 253-nucleotide ribosomal RNA is filed under the name uncultured bacterium. Its description in RNAcentral is "partial 16S ribosomal RNA". It matches the Rfam family "Bacterial small subunit ribosomal RNA", at positions 524 to 776 of the family's 1533-position model. The record is from RNAcentral.